GAACUGCGAUAAGUAAUGUGAAUUGCAGAAUUCAGUGAAUCAUCGAGUCUUUGAACGCACAUUGCGCCCCCUGGUAUUCCGGGGGGCAUGCCUGUCCGAGCGUCAUUGCUGCCCUCAAGCCCGGCUUGUGUGUUGGGCCGCCGUCCCCCGCGGGGACGGGCCCGAAAGGCAGCGGCGGCACCGCGUCCGGUCCUCGAGUGUAUGGGGCUUCGUCACCCGCUCGAUUAGGGCCGGCCGGGCGCCAGCCGGCGUCUCCACCCUUUAAUUUUCUCAGGUUGACCUCGGAUCAGGUAGGGAUACCCGCUGAACUUAAGC
Molecule: unclassified non-coding RNA, 315 nt
Filed under: plant metagenome
Description: partial contains 5.8S ribosomal RNA, internal transcribed spacer 2, and large subunit ribosomal RNA
Rfam family: 5.8S ribosomal RNA (bases 1-105)
Source: RNAcentral